GGGGUGCAGAGCUGGUGGGGAUAGGCUGAGAACCUCAGGGCUGUUCACAGGGGGGAGAGAGGGCCGAGAGGGGAUCAGAUCGAUGCCUGGCAACAUCUGAAGGGUGGGGGUCAGGAGCACGGGGCCAGGCUCUUUGCAGGACAAAGGGGUACGAAGCAAACGGGAACUAGGGAAAUUCCACCUGAACAGAAGGAGAAACUUCCCUGAGGGAACCCUGGCACACACUGCCCAGAGAGGUCGGGAAGGCUCCUCUGGAGAGACCCAAACCCACCUGGAUGCUUUCCCCUGCCACCUGCUGAAGGGGUUUGGGCUGGGGGGCGUUCAGAGGGCCCUUCAACCCCUCUGGCUCUGCGACUGUCAGUCCCUUCCCUGUGGUUCUCACAGCGGUGGUGCUGACCAAAGUCACGUUCUCUGUUCCCGUGGUGAAGCGCGUUUUUAAGGACUAAAGCUGCAGGACCCCACUCCCCCCGCAGACAGCCGCAGUACCACACUCGGGCGUUUCCACGUGGUUUUAUUGCGCUCCGGGCCCCUUCGAGAGCGCAGCUCGGCCCCGCGGCAGCCCCGAGCCCUCCGCCCUCAGCUCUCGGGGCCGGCCGAGGCCUGCCGGGCGCGGCGGUUCUGCAGCAGGCGGUAGGCCCGGACGCCGCACAGGUACCCGCCGUACACCGUCAGCAGCAUCAUGGAACCGGAGAAGGCUUUGUAGCCGAAAUCAGCCAGCUGCUUGCCGGACACCAUGGCCGCUCCGCCGUUCGCAGGCUCCGCUUCCGCCGCCGCGCCUGCCUCAGGGCCGCGCUUCCGCCCGACGUCCCGCCUCCCCG
This 818-nucleotide long non-coding RNA is filed under the name Gallus gallus (chicken). The record is from RNAcentral. Lineage: Eukaryota; Metazoa; Chordata; Aves; Galliformes; Phasianidae.